This 1439-nucleotide long non-coding RNA is filed under the name Phasianus colchicus (ring-necked pheasant). Its description in RNAcentral is "lncRNA (ENSPCLG00000012344.1)". The record is from RNAcentral. Lineage: Eukaryota; Metazoa; Chordata; Aves; Galliformes; Phasianidae.
UGAGGAUCAGCUGCUUGUCAUUCUCAAGGCUUAGUUUCUCAUUUAUAGCUUCGGGGAAAAGCAAGGGCACUUACAGCAGGAAAAAGCAAUGAUGAAAGCACAGAAGCAUCCCAUAGUGCUUGGACAUAAUGAUAAUGUCAGUUCUGUAAGAGCUCGGGUUAGACAACACGAGAGAGUCCAGGAAGAUUUCUCAUUGAAUGGGCAGCUAUAUUUUCUUUUAGGUAAGAAGCAAACCCUGUUUUCUCCUCCUAAAUAUGUGUGGUCAAUACUGCAUCAAGUUGCACAUCCUUGGGGGUGCAGCUCUCCACCAUGGGAUCUCUGCACAUGGGAUGCCCCAGCAGAGUUCGCAGGAGCAGCCUCUCAUUUGGAGAUUUUUGGGCACCAGGUCCCUGACUGCUGCAAUCCCCAAAGCUUCCUGCAGAGAGAUGCCCAGAUGCACAGCCUCCAAAAAUUCUGGUUGCUCCUGGAACUCUGAUAUGCCUGUACUGCAGGGCUUGCUUUACUCUCUCACAGACCUUUGCUCCUGAUUAUUCAACCCCAUCAUCCAGCCCAACUUUUUUUCAGCUAUUCAGUGGAUUCUCCCCGCGUGCACCUUUGCUCUGCUCCCUUCUUCAUUCAGGAUGUGGAUGCAGGAAUCAGCCAAGACGCUGCUGGUUGUAGAUUAAACAUUAAGUCAUUUGCACUGACAGCUGAUUACUUGUGUAGCAGCAAAAUAGGACACUCACGCUGACUGUGAGCACUGUUACCAAUGGGAAGACCAGAAGGGAGCACUCCUUCUAUCACAUCAUUACCAUUCAUCCUCAUGGCAAGUCAUCACAUGUUGCUCAGUUGGUUCAUGCACCUCUCUCUCACCAUGGUGAUGUGCAGGGGCACACUAAACACCCUCCAUCCCACUGCUGCUCUGCUACUGCCUGAGAAGGGUGUUUGGGGUUUGACCAAAGGAAAACCACCCUCCUCAGGGAGAACUGAUAAGGCGGGAAGUGAUUUUGUCAGAGCAGCUUGGUUAAGCACGUGUAGACAACUGCUCAGGGUCAGCCACAGAUAAUAAGCUUUUGGAUGACAAAUCUCAGUCCUUGGCUGUACAGUAAGGGGUGUAUGCUCCCAGCAUGCUCUCUGUGAAUUAUUGCAAUGGCAGCACUCACUUCCCUUCUCUGGGAAAGAAACAAGAGCAAAGCAAGCAAGAACUAGCAGCAGAUGGUCCCUCCUGUGCCCAGAUCGUUCCAGCCAAAACAAAUCUACAUCCCCAGCUGAAGGGAAGGGUACAGGAAUAGCACAGGAGUGUGACUCAGAUCCAGUGACUCAGACAGCAAGGCGAGGGGAGAGCGGGAGGGGGAGAAGCAGAACCUGGCGCAAGAGCCUCUUACGGAUGGCAGUGAUUAUUGCUAUUAUUCCAACGAGUGCUUGCGGGCACCAACAACUCUCACUGUUCUCAUUUUUUU